GGAUUUCGUUCUCCUUGUCUGGAUCAAAAUUUUAUCUAUAGCUGGAGUCAUCCAUUUUUUUUCUACUCAGAACACAUUAUUAUACACCAUGCUUAGUGUUGACUAAUUUUUCUCAAUUUUCCUGUUAAGGUCAAGAACACCAUCACCACCAAAGCGCAAAAAGUAAGCAUGUGUUUUUAAUAAAGUUCCACAUUUUCCCAUGACAUUCAUAUUUACAUGUUUAUGUUGUACAUUGUAUAACUUCAGGAUCCAGUCAUUGUGGGAUGUCCCACCUGUUGGCUUUGAGCAUAUGACCCCCAUGGAUUACAAAAAAAUGAGAG
Non-coding RNA from Paramuricea clavata, 320 nucleotides. Lineage: Eukaryota; Metazoa; Cnidaria; Anthozoa; Malacalcyonacea; Plexauridae. The record is from the annotation of a GenBank genome assembly.